UGAUUUUAAUAAAAGACUUUAUUGGAAAAAAAGUAUCAAAAAACACAUUUAAUAAAAAAAAAUAAAAAACCUGGCCUGUUGAAAUGCUUUUAUAAAAAUGUAAAAAGUGUAUCUAACAAGAUAAGAGAGAACCCUUUGCUGUGCUGAGUGUUUAAGAUCUGAUACACUACAGGUUUAGUAUCAUGGAGUUAGAUCACAACGACGGUAGGAGGUAAACACACACACACACACACACACACACAGAGACAAAGUAUCAAAAGUAAUCUUUCUGAAACACAACGGGUUUUACCUGGCCGGAUCCUGUGGACCCAACGUUUGUAGUAAUCGUAUCCAUAAUUAGAAUAACAACAGUGUUCUCGAUCAAGUGCAGCUUUAAAACAUGUUACUGGGUUCAGCUCGUAGGCCUAAUCUUCAAUUGACCCGUAGGACCCUUUGCCCUUUGCCCUUGUGGAGAUCUGAGAAGAUUGGAUGGGUCUAAAUCCACUAAAUAUUACCAUAUUGCUUACAUCUGUCGAAUCAUCUCAGAUCUCCACGAGGAAGUAGGGUCUAGGGGUCGAUCAUAGGGCCGUAGGGUCUAAGGGGUCGAUCAUAGACUGUAGGAUCUAAGGGGUCGAUCAUAGACUGUAGGAUCUAAGGGGUCGAUCAUAGGGCCGUAGGGUCUAGGGGUCGAUCAUAGACUGUAGGAUCUAAGGGGUCGAUCAUAGGGCCGUAGGGUCUAGGGGUCGAUCAUAGACUGUAGGAUCUAAGGGGUCGAUCAUAGACCGUAGGGUCUAGGGGGUCGAUCAUAGGGCCGUAGGAUCUAGGGGUCGAUCAUAGACUGUAGGAUCUAAGGGGUCGAUCAUAGACUGUAGGGUCUAAGGGGUCGAUCAUAGGGCCGUAGGGUCUAGGGGUCGAUCAUAGACUGUAGGAUCUAAGGGGUCGAUCAUAGACUGUAGGGGUCUAGGGGUCGAUCAUAGACUGUAGGGUCUAAGGGGUCGAUCAUAGACUGUAGGGUCUAGGGGUCGAUCAUAGGGCCGUAGGAUCUAAGGGGUCGAUCAUAGACUGUAGGGUCUAGGGGUCGAUCAUAGGGCCGUAGGAUCUAUGGGGUCGAUCAGAGACCGUAGGAUCUAAGGGGUCGAUCAUAGACUGUAGGAUCUAAGGGGUCGAUCAUAGACUGUAGGGUCUAGGGGUCGAUCAUAGGCUGUAGGGUCUAGGGGUCGGUUUGCGAUUGGUUCAUAGUUUGAUGCAUUGUGAACUCUGUAGUAAACUCAGUGUAAGACUUUAGGACAAAAGUAAUAACAUAAUAAUAACAUAAUAAUAACAUAAUAAUAAUAAUAAUAAUACAUUUUGUUCAAUGGAAAUGUUUCCCCUAUGAUACAGUAUAUAGACAAGAUAGGAAACAAGACAAAUCAGAAUACAGGUGAUGGCCCAAUUGUUACGUAAGCAUCAUAUGAUCAUUCAUAACCAUUCACAAGGUUGACAUAGGAGCUGACAUAAGAUGUAAUGUCUAGCAGUAAAACGUUAACACUCAUAUAGGCAUUAUAAGGCAUUAUAAAGUUUUGUAAAGGCCUCUCCUCGGGCUUUAAGUGUUUUAUGACUGAAAUACAGAGGGGUAGCUCUGUAUUCAUUUAAUGACAUUUUAUUGAAAAAAAAUAUUUUUUUACUUUGACCCGUAAUAAUGCUAGGGUCUGGGGUUAGGGGUUAGGGGUUAUGGGUCAAAUACUGAAGUCAAACACUGCUCGAUUGGCCGGUUGUAUAUAUAUAUAAAAUUAAAAAAAACAGUCUUCGUCAAAACAUAACCAAAUAAAUUAAUCAACUUGUUCUUUAUAUUAAAAUAUUACAACUUAUAAUUAUUAAGAAUACAGCCCAAUUAUUAUUGAAUUAUAGGCACAUCAUUUUCUCCCUGUUUCAUAAAACAACAUAGCAUUAAAAAAACACAGGAUCUACAAAAAAAAAGUUGAAAUAGAAAUAAACACAAAGUCUUUGGUCCGUUGGUGUGUGUGUGUGUGUGUGUGUGUGUGUGUGUGUGUGUGUGUGUGUGUGUGUGUGUGUGUGUGUGUGUGUGUGUGUGUGUGUGUGUGUGUGUGUGUGUGUGUGUGUGUGUGUGUGUGUGUGUGUGUGUGUGUGUGUGUGUGUG
RNAcentral lists this long non-coding RNA (2116 nucleotides) under Salmo salar (Atlantic salmon). Its description in RNAcentral is "lncRNA (ENSSSAG00000109420.1)". The record is from RNAcentral. Lineage: Eukaryota; Metazoa; Chordata; Actinopteri; Salmoniformes; Salmonidae.